RNAcentral lists this ribosomal RNA (253 nucleotides) under uncultured bacterium. RNAcentral's name for it is "partial 16S ribosomal RNA". It matches the Rfam family "Bacterial small subunit ribosomal RNA", at positions 524 to 776 of the family's 1533-position model. The record is from RNAcentral.
UACGAACUGUGCAAACGUUAUUCGGAAUCACUGGGCUUAAAGGGUGCGUAGGCGGCUAUCUAAGCAGGGUGUGAAAGCCCCCGGCUCAACCGGGGAAUUGCGUUCUGAACUGGAUGGCUGGAGUGAGAUAGGGGUGUGUGGAACUUCCGGUGGAGCGGUGAAAUGCGUAGAUAUCUGCAGGAACACCCGUGGCGAAAGCGGCGCGCUGGACCACUACUGACGCUGAGGAACGAAAGCUAGGGGAGCAAACAGG